Molecule: long non-coding RNA, 903 nt
Filed under: Mytilus galloprovincialis (Mediterranean mussel)
Lineage: Eukaryota; Metazoa; Mollusca; Bivalvia; Mytilida; Mytilidae
Source: RNAcentral
UUUUAAAAAAAAUGGACGGAUCAUGUGUUUAACACAACGGAGCCAUGUAUGAUUUAUAAAUUCAAUUCGAAGAACAAUUCAUACAAAUAUUGAUAUGAACGCUAAUAUAAGAAUAUCAAAAUAACAAGUUAUAACAAAUAGGUCUAUCACAAUAAAAAUCAUGGCAUGUCAUUUAUGGAAAUAAAUAAAAGUCGUAAAUACAUGUAACAAAACAAAUAUGCGAAUGUGUAAAAUGUAAAAUUUUGUAAUUUAUGAGUAAAACAUUACAAAUAUCAGCAAUGCAAAAUGAUAUCCAUUAUGAAUUUGACUGAUUGUGCAAAUUGCUUUUUUUUAAGAAAUAUAAAGGUGAUACACAUUGAUUGACUCAUCUACUUCAAAGUAUGAGGAAAACUGGAAAAUUAAACCAUGUUUUACUGUACAUGUAAAGUGGAACUAUUCUUUUUUUGAUUUAGUAAAACAUUUCAUAGCAUCAUAAUAUUGUAUAGGUUACUAUGAAAUGAAUCUGUCUAAAAUCCAAACAACAUAACUAUGAGUUCACAAAUUAUUGUGAGGUUACGGUUAAUUCAAAUAAUUAGGUUUCACAAUAAUAAAAAGUAGCAUUCAUUAUAUCAGGAGUGAAUUCCCUAAACAAUUGAAAAUAAUGGAUUCACACAUGUACAAGAGAGUUGAAAUAUGUCAUACAGAAAUUGGGCGGAAUAUUCCGUAGGAAUUAGUCAUACUUAAAUUGCAUCACAAUGAAUUUAACAGCAUAAUGAAAAUAUAACUACUGAAGUGAUGCCAUCUAGUCAAAUAAGCUGAUAUCCUACUGAGCAACUAUGAAAAAAAAUAUAUAAAACAAUAAGCUUAAAUAUUUAUAUUUGAAAAUAAAAAGAACAUCUGAAAUGUGAAAUCAUUUCCUUUUUC